AUGGAGAGGAUGGCACAGUCAUACUUCAAGGAAAUAUAUACCAAAGACCCUACUCUUGAUCCAUCUGUCGUCUUGGAAAGUAUCCAACAGAGAGUUACAACUGAAAUGAAUGAUGCUCUCUAUUUGCCUCUUUCUAACAAAGAGAUUUCCGAUGCGCUCUUCCAGAUAGGGCCUUUAAAGGCUCCAGGGGUGGAUGGAUUCCCGACGCGUUUCUAUCAGCGCAACUGGGCUGUUCUUAAGGCCGAUAUUAUUACGGCAGUUCAAGAGUUCUUUGUCACCGGUAUAAUGCCAGAUGGUGUAAAUGAUACGGCGGUGGUAUUAAUACCAAAAAUUCCACAUCCUCGUGAACUAAAGGAUUUCCAUCCUAUUAGUCUUUGCAAUGUGGUAUAUAAAAUCGUGUCUAAAUGCAUGGUGAACAGGUUGCGGCCUUUCUUAGCAGGGCUUAUCUCGGAAAAUCAAAGUGCGUUCAUUCCUGGCAGGCUUAUUACGGAUAACUCGAUUAUUGCUUUCGAAUGUAUCCAUCAUAUACAAUCUGUUAAGAAAAAUCCAUCGGCUCUGUGUGCUUACAAGCUUGACCUUUCGAAGGCAUAUGACCGAGUAGAUUGGGUCUUUCUUGAGAGGGCCCUUCUCAAAUGGGGCUUCUCCCAGUUCUGGGUCUCUCGCGUUAUGGCGUGUGUAUCUUCUGUUAAUUAUUCAGUGAAGUUCAAUGGCAAGCUACUGGAAUCUUUUACCCCAUCCCGGGGUCUCCGGCAAGGUGAUCCGUUAUCCCCCUUUCUAUUCCUAUUUGUUGCGGAUGCUCUAUCAAGGUUGAUCAAUAAAUCUAUGGCAGAGGAUGGGUUGAAAGGGGUGAAAAUUUGUAGAGGUGCUCCGAAAAUAUCCCACCUUUUAUUCGCGGAUGAUUCGCUCUUGUUUUUUCAAGCUUCUAAACAACAGGUAAAUUUGGUUAAAGGUUCGUUGAACACUUAUGCGGUGGCUACUGGGCAACUAAUAAAUCCAUCAAAGUGCUCCAUCCUUUUUUCAGAUCACUGCACGCCCACAAUUGCUAAUAAUGUGAAGAGUGUGCUGGAGAUUACACAGGAGGUAUUCGAGCCUAAGUAUCUAGGUCUCCCUGUGCCGGAGGGAAGAAUGCAUAAGGGCAAGUUUGAAACUAUCCAGGAGAGAUUAAGGAAGAGAUUAAUUGACUGGAGUGAGCAAUAUAUGUCAUCAGGUAACAAGGAGAUUUUAAUUAAAUCAGUUGCUCAGGCUAUUCCAGCUUAUGUCAUGAGUGUUUUCAAGCUCCCGGCAUCGAUUUGCGGUGAGUUAACCCGCAUGAUGCGACAGUACUGGUGGGGAGUUGAAACGGGGAAGCGUAAAAUGGCAUGGCUGAGCUGGGACAAAAUGCGCUUACCCAAAUCUAUGGGAGGCAUGGGCUUCAGAGAUAUGCGGGCUUUUAACCAAGCCCUACUUGCAAACAAGCAUGGCGCCUUCCGGGUACGCCAGACAGUUUAUGUGCUAGGCUUCUAA
RNAcentral lists this ribosomal RNA (1503 nucleotides) under Triticum aestivum (bread wheat). RNAcentral's name for it is "partial small subunit ribosomal RNA". The record is from RNAcentral. Lineage: Eukaryota; Viridiplantae; Streptophyta; Magnoliopsida; Poales; Poaceae.